This 215-nucleotide ribosomal RNA is filed under the name uncultured Streptococcus sp. RNAcentral's name for it is "partial 16S ribosomal RNA". It matches the Rfam family "Bacterial small subunit ribosomal RNA", at positions 1170 to 1382 of the family's 1533-position model. The record is from RNAcentral. Lineage: Bacteria; Bacillati; Bacillota; Bacilli; Lactobacillales; Streptococcaceae.
AAGGUGGGGAUGACGUCAAAUCAUCAUGCCCCUUAUGACCUGGGCUACACACGUGCUACAAUGGUUGGUACAACGGAGUUGCGAGUCGGUGACGGCGAGCUAAUCUCUUAAAGCCAAUCUCAGUUCGGAUUGUAGGCUGCAACUCGCCUACAUGAAGUCGGAAUCGCUAGUAAUCGCGGAUCAGCACGCCGCGGUGAAUUACGUUCCCGGGCCUU